Molecule: long non-coding RNA, 703 nt
Filed under: Homo sapiens (human)
Lineage: Eukaryota; Metazoa; Chordata; Mammalia; Primates; Hominidae
Description: non-protein coding lnc-CDYL-18:1
Source: RNAcentral
CUUUCUUCCACAAAGGGUGCAAGGCUUCAGUCAUGAAAGAUAUGUAAGCUCUAUAGAUCUAGUGUGCAACGUAGGGCAUAUGAUUAAAAUACUCCAUACUUAAAAAUGUACUAAGAGGGUCACAGAGCUUCAAACACAUCGGGUUGUAUACACUACAUUUCUACCGCUUUUGUAUGUCAAUCAUAUCUCAAUAAAGUGGUUAAAAACAAAGAAACAAAACUAUGAAAUGGAUAAUAUUGAUUAUUUCAGAAGUGUUACUGGGAAGAUUGAACAAAAUUACGUGUACAGAGUUUGGCAUAGGAUAAGUCCUCAACAAUUUAAGGUUCCUGGCUUCAGCCUUUCAGAAUGUCUGCUCUUGACAAGGUGGAGCUUCUCAUGCCAGGGAUUGCGAGGGUCAGGGAGGUGGCAGGUGUGUGGCGAGGGGUGUAUGUCUCCAUGAAAGGAACCAACUCCAAGCAGAAGUGGAUGUUGACAUCCAGGAGCUUGGGUUUCUCUGAUUGUUGACUUUUUUCAUGAUCAACCCAGGGUCCACGUGAUUUUUUAGAGUUUUUCAGCUCCACAUGCAUCUACCCUGUCAUUGCCCAUGACAGACUUAAAAGGUUGGAUUUUUUCUCUGCAAACACAAUGCCCUUUGCUUGUGUUUUCUGAACUUUGCUUUUGUUGGUUUCUCUCCCCAUCUCUCAGCUACCAAGGCCAUUUUGAA